Bacillus rossius redtenbacheri is the source of this 388-nucleotide long non-coding RNA. RefSeq lists it as uncharacterized. The record is from RefSeq and is a predicted model, not a curated record. NCBI's taxonomy places the organism in Eukaryota, Metazoa, Arthropoda, Insecta, Phasmatodea, Bacillidae. The transcript has 2 exons.
AGCUUUACAACUUAUAAUUGACCAAAAUUGUUGUGCACAGCUUAAUUAAAAGUGCAGUAUUAUUGGAUAUGCUCUUGCUAGAUAUAAUUUAAAAUUUUGGGGAUAAAGUGUCUGAAUUAAUCUAUAUUGUGAAUAUGGCUGAUAUGUUAUUUAUUUAUUGGUUUUUGCAGCUGCUGUCCUGAAACUUCAUAAAGUUACCCAUAUUGAGGUGAAGGAAACAAUCUGCCUGUGGCUGCAACAGAGCAAAACAAGAGUAAUGAGGAGAGGAAACAGAAACCAGCACCAAGGACCAGCUGAAAAUGAUCCAGGCCACUAAAAUUAUAUAUGAUACUAUAGUAGAUUGCUUAUUGUAUAAAUUAUAAUAUAAAUAAAUUUUUAGUAACUGUAA